RNAcentral lists this long non-coding RNA (1594 nucleotides) under Ricinus communis (castor bean). Its description in RNAcentral is "long non-coding RNA (RCOM_LNC000522)". The record is from RNAcentral. Lineage: Eukaryota; Viridiplantae; Streptophyta; Magnoliopsida; Malpighiales; Euphorbiaceae.
GCAUGCGAAGAUGAUCCAGCUAGCGGGGAGUGUGUUGCGGCUUGGGAUACAGUGGAGGAACUGAGUGCUGCUGCUAGCCAUGCAAGAGACAAGGCGAAGGACAGCGAUCCUUUGGAGACUUACUGCAAGGACAAUCCUGAGACAGAUGAGUGCCGUACUUACGAGGAUUAAAUUGGCAUUUUUAAUUUCUUAAUUAGUACUGAAGCAUUAGAUGUUUUAGUAAGUUUAUAUUUGAAUCCUUUGAUCAUGAUGGAGGCACUGGAAUUGUUGUUUGAUGGAUUUAUCGUGGUAUUAUCAGCAGAUACAUAUACCAUAGUAUACCAUCUUUCAGGAUAAAUGGAUAAUUAUCACUUAUUGAUGUUUAUUUUGUUUGCCCUUUUCUUUUUUAUUUUUUUACUUGAGGGUGCUCGAAAUCGAUACUCCAUAUAUUUGGUUGCAGACUUGAAUUUGGUCAAUAUAUACUUAUAUUUGUAAAAAGUGAUUUUCAAACCAUAAAUAUGUCUCACUAUUUUGCUUCCAUUUCAUAUGGUUUUCCCCUACAAUAAUUCAUUUAUUUCGUUUUGUAGUAAAAAAUUGAAUAUUCGAUGAUAGUGAAGAAAGUUAAACUAUUCAUUUCUGUUUCAGAAAGCAAUUGUUUAUAAAAAAAAUUAUCUCCUUUCGUUUGUUUUUGUGAUUUUAUUAGGAAUAUUAGCACUGUAGUGUGAUACUAUUUUACAUUUUGAUUUUAGAUAACAGGCACCUAUCAAUACUAAUAAAUAUUAGGUGAAAUUUAAGGUUCACUAUAAAAAUAGUAACUUGAUUUUCUUUCAAUAUAUUUAUGUGUUUAUUCAACAAUGAAAAUUCUUAACAUUCAAAAAGGUUUUACAUAAAAGGUUUUGGAACUAGAUUUUAUAUAAUUUACAAAAUUUCACAUAAAAUUUAUAUAUAAAAUAUUUGAUCUAAAAAUUUAUAAAUUUUUACCUCAAUAUUAUAUCAUUCAUCGAUUUAACAUAUUGAAGAUAUUCACCUAAAAUAUAUAAAAUAUUAAGUAUCACAAUCAGAACAAAAAAGAAUUCUUACCACGGUGAUCUAUAUAAAAAUAUUAAGUACUACAAUGAGAACAAGAAGAAAUCUUAUCACAAUCAUCUAUUGACAGCAUGAUCUUAAUCUAACAAAUUAAUCCAACAAUCUUCACUCAUUUUGUUAUUGACAUUUCUUUCCUUCUGUUUUUAGUUUAUGUUAUCCAAAUUUAAAAUGCUUAAUUUUAAAAACAACUUUUUUUUUCGAAAUCAAUUUUAGAAACAACUUAGAGAACCAGAAAACUACCGUUUUCUUAAUGGAUUAAUGUAAUGGAAAAUGCUUUUUUUUUUUCAUAUAUUUUGUUUUAAAAUCUGAACAGCAAAAACAAAAACAAAAAAUACCGGAAGGAACAUAAUUAAACAGAAGCUGGCUCGAGAAUCCUUACUAUGGGCAAUCAUUUUUGGAUAAGGAACAUUAUCAUCUGCUACAAUUUGUGCCGAUGGUGGGCGAGCAAAACAUUUCUAGAUGACAGCGAGAAUCAAGAUUCUACACGCAAGCUGGUCAUGCAUGAUGGUCAAGGGGAAAGAUUUUCAAA